RNAcentral lists this long non-coding RNA (671 nucleotides) under Parus major (Great Tit). RNAcentral's name for it is "lncRNA (ENSPMJG00000002392.1)". Lineage: Eukaryota; Metazoa; Chordata; Aves; Passeriformes; Paridae. The record is from RNAcentral.
GGGAUUUUAAGGAGAUUUUUGGGGUAAAACUUUGGAAUUUUAAGAACCUUUUUUGGUGUAAAACCUCAGGAUUUUCCAUCAGAAUUUUCUGGGGAUUUUUUACCCUUCCCCCCCUCAUUUUUUGGGUUGAAACCCCCCAAUUUUGGGGAUUUAUUCCUCUUAAAUCUCUUUAUUUUUAUCUCCCAGCUUCUGUUUUUCGGAGAUGGCCCCGGUGUGCGCCGUGGUCGGGGGGGUGCUGGGCCAGGAGGUGGUCAAGGUAAGAUUUUGGGGGGAUUUUGGGGGGUUUUGGGGGGUUUUGGGGAUUUUGGGGGUCCCCAAAUCCCCCCUGGUGACCCCCCCGUGUCCCCUCCAGGCUCUGUCCCAGCGGGACCCCCCCCACAACAAUUUCUUCUUCUUCGACGGCAUCAGGGGCCAGGGGAUGGUGGAGUGCCUGGGACCCCCCCUCUGAGGGACCCCCCAAUUUGGGGAGGGGGUUUGGGGGCUCCUGGACCCCUUUCUGUGGGACCCCUGAAUUUGGGGAGGGGGCUUGGGGGGUCCUGAACCCCUCGGGGUGAAGAUUUGGGGGUCCUGAACUCCUUGGGGAGGGGGUUUGGGGGGUCCUGGACUCCUCUCUGAGGGACCCCCCAAUUUGGGGAGGGGGUUUGGGGGUUCUGGACCCCUCGGGGUGAAGA